Molecule: ribosomal RNA, 467 nt
Filed under: uncultured bacterium
Lineage: Bacteria
Description: partial 16S ribosomal RNA
Rfam family: Bacterial small subunit ribosomal RNA
Source: RNAcentral
GACGAACGCUGGCGGCGUGCUUAACACAUGCAAGUCGAACGGAAAGGCCUCUUUCGGGGGGUACUCGAGUGGCGAACGGGUGAGUAACACGUGAGUAACCUGCCCUUGACUUUGGGAUAACUUCAGGAAACUGGGGCUAAUACCGGAUAGGAGCUCCUGCUGCAUGGUGGGGGUUGGAAAGUUUCGGCGGUUGGGGAUGGACUCGCGGCUUAUCAGCUUGUUGGUGGGGUAGUGGCUUACCAAGGCUUUGACGGGUAGCCGGCCUGAGAGGGUGACCGGCCACAUUGGGACUGAGAUACGGCCCCGACUCCUACGGGAGGCAGCAGUGGGGAAUAUUGCACAAUGGGUGGAAGCCUGAUGCAGCAACGCCGUGUGCGGGAUGACGGCCUUCGGGUUGUAAACCGCUUUCGCUCAUGACGAAGCUUUGUGUGACGGUAGUGGGUAAAGAAGCACCGGCUAACUACGUG